GAGUUUGAUCCUGGUUCAGGACGAACGCUGACGGUGUGCUUUAGACAUGCAAGUCGAACGAGAAAGCCCUUCGGGGUGAGUACAGUGGCGAACGGGUGAGUAACACGUGGGUAAUCUGCCCCUCGCAGGGGGACAACCGGGGGAAACCCCGGCUAAUACCCCGUACGCUUGCGGGGCCGCAUGGCUCGGCAAGGAAAAGGUAGCUUCGGCCAUCCGGCGAGGGAUGAGCCCGCGGUCCAUUAGCUAGUUGGUGGGGUAAAGGCCUACCAAGGCGACGAUGGAUAGCUGGUCUGAGAGGAUGAUCAGCCACACUGGGACUGAGACACGGCCCAGACUCCUACGGGAGGCAGCAGUCGGGAAUCUUGCGCAAUGGGCGAAAGCCUGACGCAGCAACACCGUGUGGGCGACGAAGGCCUUCGGGUCGUAAAGCCCUGUUGUUGGGGACGAAGGGCGAAGGGUUAAUAGCCCCUAGCCUGACGGUACCCUUCGAGGAAGCCCCGGCUAACUACGUGCCAGCAGCCGCGGUAAUACGUAGGGGGCGAGCGUUGUCCGGAAUUAUUGGGCGUAAAGAGCGUGUAGGCGGUUCGGUAAGUCUGCCGUGAAAACCUGGGGCUCAACCCCGGGCGUGCGGUGGAUACUGCCGGGCUAGAGGAUGGUAGAGGCGAGUGGAAUUCCCGGUGUAGCGGUGAAAUGCGCAGAUAUCGGGAGGAACACCAGUAGCGAAGGCGGCUCGCUGGGCCAUUCCUGACGCUGAGACGCGAAAGCUAGGGGAGCGAACAGGAUUAGAUACCCUGGUAGUCCUAGCCGUAAACGAUGAACACUAGGUGUGGGGGGAGUCGAAUCCCUCUGUGCCGCAGCCAACGCGUUAAGUGUUCCGCCUGGGGAGUACGGCCGCAAGGCUAAAACUCAAAAGAAUUGACGGGGGCCCGCACAAGCAGCGGAGCAUGUUCUUUAAUUCGAUGCAACGCGAAGAACCUUACCUGGGCUUGACAUGGUGCUGCAAGCGCACGGAAACGUGUGACCUUCGAGGGUGCACCACAGAUGCUGCAUGGCUGUCGUCAGCUCGUGUCGUGAGUUGUUGGGUUAAGUCCCGCAACGAGCGCAACCC
Molecule: ribosomal RNA, 1108 nt
Filed under: uncultured bacterium
Lineage: Bacteria
Description: bacterial SSU rRNA
Rfam family: Bacterial small subunit ribosomal RNA
Source: RNAcentral